UCAGGACGAACGCUGGCGGCGUGCUUAACACAUGCAAGUCGAGCGGGGUUUAUCGGAUUAGCUUGCUAAACUGAUAAACCUAGCGGCGGACGGGUGAGUAACGCGUGAGCAAUCUGCCUCAUACAGGGGGAUAACAGGUGGAAACACCUGCUAAUACCGCAUAAGACUCCACUACCGCAUGGUAGAGAAGUCAAAGGGAUUACCGGUAUGAGAUGAGCUCGCGUCCCAUUAGCUAGUUGGUAGGGUAAAGGCCUACCAAGGCGACGAUGGGUAGCCGACCUGAGAGGGUGAUCGGCCACACUGGGACUGAGACACGGCCCAGACUCCUACGGGAGGCAGCAGUGGGGAAUAUUGCACAAUGGAGGGAACUCUGAUGCAGCAACGCCGCGUGAGUGAAGAAGGUUUUCGGAUCGUAAAACUCUGUCAUUGGGGAAGAAUAAAUGACGGUACCCAAUGAGGAAGCCCCGGCUAACUACGUGCCAGCAGCCGCGGUAAUACGUAGGGGGCGAGCGUUGUCCGGAAUUACUGGGCGUAAAGGGUACGUAGGCGGCUAUAUAAGUCAGGUGUGAAAUACCAGUGCUUAACACUGGAAUUGCAUUUGAAACU
RNAcentral lists this ribosomal RNA (606 nucleotides) under uncultured bacterium. RNAcentral's name for it is "bacterial SSU rRNA". It matches the Rfam family "Bacterial small subunit ribosomal RNA", at positions 24 to 634 of the family's 1533-position model. The record is from RNAcentral.